This is a long non-coding RNA of Arachis stenosperma, 1244 nucleotides long. RefSeq lists it as uncharacterized. The record is from RefSeq and is a predicted model, not a curated record. Lineage: Eukaryota; Viridiplantae; Streptophyta; Magnoliopsida; Fabales; Fabaceae. The transcript has 10 exons.
UCUCUUUCCAUGCCCCAGAGAAGAGAAAAAGAAAAGGUCGGGGAAGAAAUAAAGCACGAAGGAAGAAGGAGAAGAGGGUGGCGAUGACAACGACGGUCACCGAGAAGGAUGCUAGAUCGACAGAGAAAAUAAGAGGAAUGAGGUGACGGCGGUGAUGAAGGCUACUGCCGCUGUUGGAUCCAUAGAACUGCCUCUACCUCAGAACGCCGUCGUAGCCGUUCCUUCGCCGAUGGAUGCUGCAAAUAGAGGAUGCUUCAAGUUCCACUGCUCCAUGGUAGGAAGUCAAUUAAAGCUCUUCUUCAUCAUUUUUAAUUUUCUCCACUGAAAACUGCCUCUAAAUCGAAUGCAAGAGAGCGAAAGCAAAUAGAGCAGUGAGGGAGAAAGAAGGAGGAAUGAGGCAAUGGCGGUAAUGGAGGCCACUGUGGAUGCCAGAUUUGCCACUGAAGAAGAAAGUCAUUCGAGAGAGGGGAGCUUCCAACGAGGCAUAUGCUACUCUGUUGUACGAUAUUGUAGAUUCAAGAACCAGUUUGGAGUUUUAUGUGAAGGUCACCAUUAUGCCAGAUUUAAGAAACAGAUUUACACGAAAGUCACCAUUAUGGACUGGGAUUCGGGAUUUGUUCAACCGCCUCUGAAUCGAAUGCGAGCGAAAGCAAAUAGAGCAGUAAGGGAGAAAGAAGGAGGUUAGAUUGAGAAAGAAAGGAGGAAUGAGUCAAUGACAUAUGCUACUCUGUUGUACGGUGAGAAAUUUUUUCUUGGGAAAUUGAUUUGCAACAGUAGAUCCAAGAAGGACAUGUUUGUUGUGAUCUCGAAUGGAGUCUCUGAUUGCCUGCAACCUCCCUCAGGGAUUAAUUAAUGUGAAUUAUGAAUCAGAAAUGGAACACGAAUUUAUUUCUGUAUUUCGGAAGGGAUGGAGAGGUCCUUAUGUUGCUGUUUCUCUGGAUAGGGUUGUGGAUGUUGAUAGAAAUCUAGGAGAUGAAAAGUUGGUUACUGAUGGAUUUCAAGAACCCAUAGAUACGUUAGAAUAACUGACAUUAGAUUUUGAGGCCAGUGAAUUUGAGCAAUAGAACAUCUGAGGUGGUGAUUGUCUCUCAUGGAGUCUUUGAUUAUGCCAACAAUGUCCUCCAGGAACAACUUCUCUGACAAAGCUCAAGGUGUGAAAUCUGUUGCAAUGUGCUCCGGCUGAAGUUGCACCUGCCAAAGCGCUUGCAUAAAUUGGAAGGACAAUAAUAAUACCAAGUAUGAAC